Molecule: non-coding RNA, 498 nt
Organism: Capra hircus (goat)
Lineage: Eukaryota; Metazoa; Chordata; Mammalia; Artiodactyla; Bovidae
Source: the annotation of a RefSeq genome assembly
AUGCCGCUCUCCAGCCUGCUCUGGGUGCUCCUGGCCUUCUCCUUCCCUGGAUCUGGUGUGGCCCAGAAUGUUACUCAAAACCAGACAGUCAUAAUCAGUCAAGUGGGGAAGAUAGUCACCCUUAACUGUCAGUAUGAAAUUAGCAGGAAUGUGCAUGACUACUGGAUUUUUUGGUACCAGCAGCUUCCCAGUGGAGAGAUGACUUACCUCAUUCAUCAGUAUUCAGAAGACAGGAAUGAAAGGGAUGGCCGCUACUCUGUAAACUUCCAGAAAGCACGUAAAUCCAUCAGCCUCACUAUUUCAUUCUUAAAACUGGAACAUUCUGCAAAGUAUUUCUGUGCUCUCUGGGUACACACAGUGUUUGAGUUAAUAGGAAAAGCUGAACAAAAACCCCGGAGCUUAAUAAGAGAGAGCCCCCCUGCUGCAGGACCCCAGCUGAAAUGCACACCUGCAGACCUCAGACAAGAAAUGAUAGUCCUGUGGUUGCUUCAUCUGUGA